Leopardus geoffroyi (Geoffroy's cat) is the source of this 1391-nucleotide long non-coding RNA. RefSeq lists it as uncharacterized. The transcript is spliced from 2 exons. The record is from RefSeq and is a predicted model, not a curated record. Lineage: Eukaryota; Metazoa; Chordata; Mammalia; Carnivora; Felidae.
ACCCUGAUACUAAAACCAAAGACAUCACAAGAAAACCGUGGGCCAGUAUCCACUGUAAAUAAGAAGUAAAAAUUCUCCAAACAACACUAGUAAACCAAAUCCAACAAUAUAUAAGAAAGGCUACACCACGACCAAAUAGGACUCGUCCCAAGGACGCGAGAAUGGCUUAGCCCCUGACAGGCAGUGAACGGAACGCACCCUACCAACGGGAAAAAGAAAUACACGGCACCUCAGGAGACGCACAAAAAACAUCUGCCAAAAUCCAGCCCCCUUCCACGAAAUCCUAAAUCUGGGCAAACUAGGAACAGAAAGGGACGUCCUCCACUCGGUAAACGUCAUCUGAGAGAGCCGGCGCUGGCAGUGGCCUCCGGAACGGGACUCGGCUGCCUGGGUGGACACCGAGCAGGAGGCCCAGCCAGAGCGCUCAGAUGAGAGAAAGGAAUAAAGGCACCAGACUGGAAAGGAAGAAGUAACCGUUUGCAGGUGACGUGCUUCUAAGUCCCGAGGAACCCACUAGAACUGCGCUAGCGCUAACGAGGGAGAGAAGCAGCGCUGCCAGCCGCUGGGCCCAUGAGGCGGGCAGGGGGGCAGCACGGCUGGCCUGACUGCCCUGGAGAGGCCGUGCCCCCAGGGCUGCACCGCGCCACCCUGGCUGAUCACGUCCUGUGCGACUCCGCAAGCUGGCACAUCUCUUCCCUUUGCUGAGCUUGCUUUGUAUCAUUUCGCUGCAUGAAGUCACGGCUGUGACUCUGUGCUGAGUCCUGGGCUCCUACAGAAUCACCACAGUGAGAAGUGCUCCUGGGGACCCUUGACAGGGUGGCUGUAAACGCGGGAUUCCCUAGCGCUCAGACUCACCGACUCGUGUGGAGAGCAUUAUUUUGCAAAGGAAGGAUGAAGGGGUGAGGCGGGACAUACCUCUGGUGCCCGGGUGGCCGUGAAAUCGUCCGUGGCGUGAAACACUGGCUGAGCUGCUGUCUGUAGUGAGGGUACAAGUUACCUGUGGGACCCGGAAAUGACAGAUCCAGUCCCAGGAGAGCGGGCUUGGGUCCCCUGGCUACCGGGAGGGGGACAGUGCCACGCAGGUGAUGCUUGGGCUCCUCUUCUCCAGGUGGGUGGGAGGAAGCGUCCUGAAUUCCCAAGAGUGGGCUUCGGAUGGGCCGAAAAUGUUCAAAGUGUGCAUUGCCCUUCUCUCCGAGUGGGAGAAGCAAUGUUAGAUCAGGUCCCUGGCCUGGAACAAAGUUUUAGAUAAGACUGCUGCUGCGUCCCGCCCCCCCCCCUCCACCUCCUAUUCCAGCUGGGAUCUUCCCAGAAGCUGUGAGGUUAGCCCUGGAAAGACCGUAACUGUUAGGGGUGUGAGUAAAUUUUCAGUAAGAAAAAAAUGGAAUUUUGGG